This 462-nucleotide ribosomal RNA is filed under the name Salmonella enterica subsp. enterica serovar Infantis. RNAcentral describes it as "bacterial SSU rRNA". Lineage: Bacteria; Pseudomonadati; Pseudomonadota; Gammaproteobacteria; Enterobacterales; Enterobacteriaceae. The record is from RNAcentral.
AAAUUGAAGAGUUUGAUCAUGGCUCAGAUUGAACGCUGGCGGCAGGCCUAACACAUGCAAGUCGAACGGUAACAGGAAGCAGCUUGCUGCUUUGCUGACGAGUGGCGGACGGGUGAGUAAUGUCUGGGAAACUGCCUGAUGGAGGGGGAUAACUACUGGAAACGGUGGCUAAUACCGCAUAACGUCGCAAGACCAAAGAGGGGGACCUUCGGGCCUCUUGCCAUCAGAUGUGCCCAGAUGGGAUUAGCUWGUUGGUGAGGUAACGGCUCACCAAGGCGACGAUCCCUAGCUGGUCUGAGAGGAUGACCAGCCACACUGGAACUGAGACACGGUCCAGACUCCUACGGGAGGCAGCAGUGGGGAAUAUUGCACAAUGGGCGCAAGCCUGAUGCAGCCAUGCCGCGUGUAUGAAGAAGGCCUUCGGGUUGUAAAGUACUUUCAGCGGGGAGGAAGGUGUUGUGG